Molecule: unclassified non-coding RNA, 1870 nt
Filed under: Anthonomus grandis grandis
Lineage: Eukaryota; Metazoa; Arthropoda; Insecta; Coleoptera; Curculionidae
Description: bardet-Biedl syndrome 7 protein homolog
Source: RNAcentral
UACCAUUUAAUAGUGUAAUUUAAUAUACACGUUUAAGCAAUGGAGUUGCAAUUAUCCAGAACGGAUUAUGCCGUAGUGGGUGUUGUUAGUAAAAAUUGCGUUAAGUUACUUCCGGGUUCUGCACCUAAGGAACAACAGAAGAUAGCAAUAGCAGAUAGCGAAGGGAUCCUUCAAGUGAUUUCAGUGAAAAAGGACGACAUCCAAUUGCAAUUUAAAACUCUACCAGGACCACCCAUUGUGUCUCUAAAAGUAGCUGGGGCCUCAGGGACACUCAAUGACAAAAUAUUCAUAGCCACUGGUAACGAAGUGAAAGGUUACACCAAAAAGGGAAAACUAUUCUUGGCAUUUGACUCUGGAAUGACAGAGAACAUAACUUCCAUGUGUGUUAUUGGUAAUGAACUAUUCCUUUGCGGACGACACGUGUAUAGUCAUUACAGGGAUUGCAAAGAGAUCGGCUCCUAUUUAUGCGGGGAUAUUAUUGUCGACGUAAUUGCAUUUUAUAUGACCAAAAGCAGAAGAUUGACAUCUCUUAUAGCAUGCGAGGGACGGAUGAUCAGAGUACUGGAGCAUGCCAGAGUUACUUUUAGUAUAGAAGUUGAGAGUUCUCCUACAGUUUUGCAUAUUUAUGAAGAUGAUGAGUCUAAGACUGUUCUUUUUGGUACAGUUGAUGGUAGAGUUGGAAUUUUGGAUAUUGAGAGUUUGCAGGAUUUCCAAAGAUGGCUACUGUCUGACGAAGAAAAUAACUGUUCAGUUUUAUGCAUGGACAGUUAUGACAUGACUGGUAACGGAACUAAAAAUUUAAUCCUCGGAAGGCAAAAUGGCAGAAUCGAAAUAUACUCGAUUAACGUCCACGACAACAUGGACGCGACCAGUUUAAUAUUUGUCGAGGAUUGUAAAGAAAGCAUUAUGUCCCUUCAAUGUGGAGUUGUCGGAGCUUAUGGAUACGACGAAGUGCUGGCAGUUACGUAUAACGGACGAGUCUUUGGACUCACCACUCAAGUUGCAGACGCUAAUUUUGAUGGAACUACUGGCAGUUACGUUUUUUCCACUGACGCAUCAGCAAAAAUCAAUAAGUUAAAGAGUAGCAUUGAAGAGUUACAACAAAAAGUGAACAAAGAGAGAGAACGAUAUCAAUCGUCUACACUAAGCAAUAGUUUUAUGGAGCUAUCAGCAAUAUCGCUGAUCCCAGUGAACCACACUUUUGUACUGGAUCGAGCUACUGCCACCUACAGCCUGAUAAUAGAAGUACCCACAGCAAUUGAUAAUAUCCUGAUCGAAUGUAAUGCCAAAAUUGAAUUGAUGGACGUUGAAAGGAAUACUGCUGUUAUUAGUUAUAAUGAUACGCCGGGAAAGGGACAUCAUUUGCUUGCCACAUACAGAUGUCAAGUGGAUACGAAUCGUAUUGAAUUGAAAAUCCAGACGACAGAGGGUAGCUAUGGAACCCUAAAAGCGUACGUUUCGCCGGCUUUGCAACCCAAAUGUAGCAGAUUGUUACAGUUUGACAUAAAGGCUUUGUCUUUACACUACAGAGUUCACGAGUAUAAUGAUGUAAAUAGGCCGCGUAGCACGUUGAAAAUAAAAGGGACGUUUUCUCUUGCCGAGGUACACAACUGGAUAACUCAAUGCCUUCCAGAAAUUCCCGAAAAAUACCAAAGUUCCGAGGGAAAUAAACUGAUUUUCCAGUCGAGCAUGAUGGAUACCGUCCUGGUGUGUUUAUACAAGUGAGGCCGAGUUUACGUCCGAUAAUAUCAUGUCUCUGUGUUUAAUUAAAGAGGUGCUCAGUGAGGAAGCAACAAGGAAGAAAGCGAAAAUUGAGAUCGGUUUUGAUAUUAACAACGAAUGUAUGAGUUACGUCUUAAAUAUAUUACAA